GAUGAAGAACGCAGCGAAAUGCGAUAAGUAAUGUGAAUUGCAGAAUUCAGUGAAUCAUCGAACCUUUGAACGCAUCUUGCGCUCCUUGGUAUUCUGAGGAGCAUGCCUGUUUGAGUGUCAUUAAAUUCUCAACUACACUGACUUUGAAUUGGUGUGGCUUGGAUUUGGGGGGAAAAUUGUUGUGGGCUUUUUGUAUAGUCUGCUCCCCUGAAAUUGAUUAGCGGUACCUUUGUGGAACUGUCUACAGGUGUGAUAAUUAUCUACAUCUUAGACAUCUGCUGGAAUGCUGCUUUCUAAACCUUACUUGUAUUGACAAUCUUGACCUCAAAUCAGGUAGGACUACCCGCUGAACUUAAGCAUAUCAAUAAGCGGAGGA
RNAcentral lists this unclassified non-coding RNA (376 nucleotides) under soil metagenome. RNAcentral's name for it is "partial contains 5.8S ribosomal RNA, internal transcribed spacer 2, and large subunit ribosomal RNA". The stretch from base 1 to 120 matches the Rfam family "5.8S ribosomal RNA", at positions 35 to 154 of the family's 154-position model. The record is from RNAcentral.